RNAcentral lists this transfer-messenger RNA (391 nucleotides) under Patescibacteria group. RNAcentral describes it as "2-01-FULL-46-14 sp001779925 Standard tmRNA". It matches the Rfam family "transfer-messenger RNA". Rfam says of the family: Bacterial tmRNA, also known as 10Sa RNA or SsrA, is named for its dual tRNA and mRNA-like properties. The record is from RNAcentral. RNAcentral also lists the same sequence under 1 other name.
GGGGCUGACAAGCUUCGACAGAAGUUCUUUGAAAAGUGAUUGCAAGCCAGAGCUGUCAUCAUCUCUUUCAAAACUGAUGGCAAUCUACAAAUGCCAAUACAUUUGUUUCCAAGGUAAAGAAUGCUUUUGCAUCUCUUUCUUUGGUACCUGCAUUAGCCUAAUACGCUUUUGCGGUCGAAUCCGCGACACCGAUGGCGGCCUAGACCUAUUAUCCUCGGUUAGAUCAAUCAUGGCCCUCGUGACUGCGACUGAUCGAAACAAUUCACGAUCGUCUGGCUGAUAUUUUGCUGGUUUAAAGUCAGUCCGGACUAAACAAAAUAAAUCCGCUAAGCUUGUAGACAUUGCUUUUCUAAACUUUUGGACGCGGGUGCAAUUCCCGCCAGCUCCAUUC